This 301-nucleotide ribosomal RNA is filed under the name uncultured bacterium. RNAcentral describes it as "partial 16S ribosomal RNA". It matches the Rfam family "Bacterial small subunit ribosomal RNA", at positions 509 to 807 of the family's 1533-position model. The record is from RNAcentral.
CAGUAGCCACGGGAAUACGGAAGGUCCAGGCGUUAUCCGGAUUUAUUGGGUUUAAAGGGAGUGUAGGCGGUCUGUUAAGCGUGUUGUGAAAUUUAGGUGCUCAACAUCUAACUUGCAGCGCGAACUGGCGGACUUGAGUGCACGCAACGUAUGCGGAAUUCAUGGUGUAGCGGUGAAAUGCUUAGAUAUCAUGACGAACUCCGAUUGCGAAGGCAGCGUACGGGAGUGUUACUGACGCUUAAGCUCGAAGGUGCGGGUAUCGAACAGGAUUAGAUACCCGUGUAGUCCCUGUCUCUUAUAC